This 280-nucleotide ribosomal RNA is filed under the name uncultured Veillonella sp. RNAcentral describes it as "partial 16S ribosomal RNA". It matches the Rfam family "Bacterial small subunit ribosomal RNA", at positions 402 to 674 of the family's 1533-position model. The record is from RNAcentral. Lineage: Bacteria; Bacillati; Bacillota; Negativicutes; Veillonellales; Veillonellaceae.
UGAGUGAUGACGGCCUUCGGGUUGUAAAGCUCUGUUAAUCGGGACGAAUGGCUACCAUGCGAAUAGUUUGGGAGUUUGACGGUACCGGAAUAGAAAGCCACGGCUAACUACGUGCCAGCAGCCGCGGUAAUACGUAGGUGGCAAGCGUUGUCCGGAAUUAUUGGGCGUAAAGCGCGCGCAGGCGGAUCUGCCAGUCUGUCUUAAAAGUUCGGGGCUCAACCCCGUGAUGGGAUGGAAACUACAGAUCUAGAGUAUCGGAGGGGAAAGUGGAAUUCCUAGU